This 237-nucleotide unclassified non-coding RNA is filed under the name Hevea brasiliensis (rubber tree). Lineage: Eukaryota; Viridiplantae; Streptophyta; Magnoliopsida; Malpighiales; Euphorbiaceae. The record is from RNAcentral.
AGCUGGACACCACCUCCAUAGGGUCUCCAUCUCUGAUGGCAUCGAGGCGAGCAUGGGUGAAUGGUCUUCUGACGGUGUCGAGAUGAGGAUGUGUUUGGGUCUCUGUUUGAUGGGUUGAGGUGAGCAUCGGUGGUGUGAUGCACUAAUCAAAGAGAACAAUGUGAUGAAGCCAUGAAGGCCAAAAAUAGAAAUUACAUGCAGCUUUAACCUUUACAUAUAGAAAGAUCAAAGAAUGCG